Long non-coding RNA from Clupea harengus (Atlantic herring), 5467 nucleotides. NCBI's taxonomy places the organism in Eukaryota, Metazoa, Chordata, Actinopteri, Clupeiformes, Clupeidae. The record is from Ensembl.
GAUGACAGGCGAGGGACGAGGAAGAAGGAUUGGGGUGGGACAGGGCCCAGGCAAUCUGUGUGUUGCCGUGGCAACUCCCGGGGGUCUUGUCGUGCCUCUAAACAGGGGAUUUAAAAAGUCGCCCUUAAGCCAGCUGAAGAGGGCUAAUUAGUGCACAUGACUUUAGACCUACAUGCCCUCACACCAGUUAGAAGGAGGGAUCACAGAGGGAAAUAGUAUGCCAAAUAAGUGUACUUAUUCAUGCAACACCUCCGACAACAAUCCAUUUUAGAGACUUUUCUAAUGUGUAUCAGAUGACUGCAUUGAACAAACAUGUUUCCGGCUUCCUCGGGUUUUGCGCCUCACAGUGAGGACGCCAGAGCUCGCUAACUAAACAGCAGCACCAUCUGUGCGCAGUAGGCUCCUCCAUCAAGGCAAUUACUGUUCUUCUGCAGCAUUUUGUACUGCAUUCAUCCAUUCAACUUUGUGUCGGAGUGCGGGUGGAAAAAUCUGUAAGGGUCAGGGCAAGCCUGCAGUGGGAAGUAACCCAAUUUGGUACGAUAUAUAUAUAUGUGUGUGUGUGUGUGUGUGUGUGCGUGUGUGUGUAUGCGUGUGUGUGUGUGUGCGCAUGUGUGUGUGUGUGUGUGUGCGCGCGUGUGUGUGUGAGUGCGCGCGUGUGUGUGAGUGUAUGUGUGUGUGUGUGUGUGUAUGCCCGUGUGUGUGUGUGUGUGUGUGUGUGUGUGUGUGUGUAUGUGUGUGUGUAAAGGACAGAGUCGGCAUUAAAGUCUUGUGCUCCACCCCAGGUGAGUCUGGGGUGGACGUGAGAAGAUCAAUGCUGUGGUGAGAGAAUUGCUCUGGCCCCUCCCGCCGGGCCCUAGGCCGUCUCCAACACCUGGGAUAAUUUGUCUCUCUCUGGCCCUUGCCACUGGUGCUUUUAUUUAUUUGUGUCUCCCAUGUGCCUCUGCUGGUGCCCCUGACAGGUUGGCCUGCUCCUGCAGUAAUUUGUAGUGGGUUUUGUUUCUCUCUCUCUCUCUCUCUCUCUCUCUCUCUUUCUCUCUCUCUCUGGGGCUCUGGGAAGAGGCUGGUUGGGUGGGUGUGUUCGGUCAUGCAAGGGAUUUAGGCCUGCUAAUAAGAUCAGCUCAAGCAGGGAAGACAAGAAGGCCUCGGGCAUUACUGUACUUAACCUACUUAAUGUGCAGCAUCCACACAGAAACAGGUAUGAAACUUGCGUGAGUCACUUAUGCCAGCAUGAUACAUAUUGAGCCAAGCGAUGAGAAUUCCAUAAUUCCUAAUCGAAAGCUAAGACCUCUGUAGUGAUUCGAUUGGCCAUGGCGUGAAGGACAGCGGAAUCAAAACAAAAUGGGCGAUGCAGUCGAUAUACGUUAAAGCCGAUGGUAUUUUAUGACGGAGCCUUCCACACAAGGGGGUUUAAGAUGGAUGAACAUCAAGGCAUGCCUGAGCUUAAUUAGUGAUAGCCAUCCAUGCGUGGCAAAUUAGGCUGUUGUUUUUCAACAGCUGUCAAACAUCCCUUGUUUUAUUAUUCAUAGGACCACAGUGUGGGGCCCUCGUCAGCGUGUAUAUUUAAUUAUUUAUUUAUUAUUGACUAGCGCCAGCAAAAUCACACCAGUAAACAGCAUGAGAUGUGUGUUUUUUUCCUGUCUCCAAUGAAUGGAGAGAAGGCGUAGAUUUUUAAACAGGAGCAUAUGUGAACUUGCACAUUGUUCUGUCAGUGCCUCUAAAUCAUAUUGUACAAGUAACCAUUUCAGGCAAUAGACCCGUAGUUUGGAACUGUACUUAUUUACUCAUUCUUGGCACAAUUGCGUUGCAUAAUGUGAAAUGUUUGCAUAAAUGUUUUUUUUUCUUCUUCCUUGAGUUCAUGUUAUGCUGUUCCACCAAUACCCACUCUGCAUUAGCCUUGUUUUUCCAACACUCUCAGCAAACCCCAGGCAAUAUUUCCGAACCUCAUAACGUUGCACAAUCUGCUUAAAUUUACAUGAGCGCCGCUCCUGUGCCUCUACCGUUGCUUAACUGUUCAUAUUUUUCCGUCGUAUUAAAUCGCAGGGAUUUUUAGUUUUUCUUGUCUGUCUUGUUUUUCUUUUCCAUUUCCAUUUGCAUGUGUGAUGGUAGCCUUCAUCAGCGCCGGCUUCCACUCAAGGCUGCGCCGUUCCUGUCAUCGCCGCGAGGCACCGCCGCGGUCCCCUUUGCUGAUGGAUGCUGACAGAGUGCAAAUACCCAGCAGUAUUAAUCACUUCCUGUUUCGCCUGUGGGUUUGGGAAGGCCCCCGCCACCUGAUUACGGGCGAACAUAAAUCGUCUUUGCACUCGCCGCCCUUUCCGGCUGGCGUUGGCACUCGCCUUCCCGCUUUCUGUGGAGCGUAAAUGAGUGUUCAGACCUUCGGAAGGCGAGAGUGUCUUGGGCAUCACCUCCUGUGCCACAAACUCUGAGACAACAAAAAAAAAGAGUGUGCGCGAGAGAGCGAGAAAGUGAGAGAGAGAAAGAGAGUGGAAGAGAGAGAAAUCCUUGAUCCCCACUUGCUGUGGUGUUAGCUUAUGUUGCCUCUCCUCUCUGCAAGGUAAUGAAGGCUCAUUUUGGCCUGUCAGUUGUGAUAAAUGUGUGUUGAGCGCAGAUUAAAAUGUAAUGUCUUCUCACAUACUCUAUUUGAAUGCCGGAGAAGCGUGCCGGCGGUUUGUGUCAGAGAGGGGGAGGAAGAGUCGGGGAGACGGCCGUGGAUUUUCUCAUUACCCGCCGAGCCUACACACACUUAGGCCCACUUUGGGUUCAACAUUUUACUGCAGAUGUGCUCGAAACAACAGAAAGAGGAAGAGGCCAUAGUUGCCGUGGAGAUAAUGAUCAUGGUUAUUACACUGACCACAAAACGAAUGCGACUCUCUGCCAUUUAAAGGGCAUUACAUGCCGCGCGUGGUCUGAAGUUGAAUGACUAUGAUUGCAAGAAGUUACUUUUUUAUUACACCUGUGUGUCUUUUGUGCGUUACCAAACUUGCAUGAGUUCAUAAUGGAUUAGAAGCUACCAGGGACCAUGAGAAGUGGUGGGGGUAGUUUGACUUGGCUUCAGUGUGCAAGGUGCUUAUCAGUGUUUCUUGGCAUGGCUCAGCCUGACCCUGAAGGAUAUUCUGUAUUUUGUUGCUAAUGGACUCAAACCAGUCAAACCAAGAAUCAUUGAUUUGAGUAAAACAAGACACUCUAUACAUGACAAGAACUAUGAGCAUCUAUAUUUAAUAUGUGACAUACACAAGUAAUGCUGUGCUUUAUUUAGUCAUAUACAAUAAGCAGUCUUUAUAUUCUCAUAACGUUAUGGUCACAUGUGCGCAGGAAAAGAACAGUGCUUGGUCACAUGUGCGCAGGAAAAGAACAGUGGUUGCCAGACCUGUUUGUUCCACCAUUUGCAUCUCUGACAGCGUCUUCUGUCUGUGAUUGGCUCGUCACCUGUGAUUAAAAUCUAGCUGAAUGGCAACGUUGUUAUGAGCUCCCGCUGUCAGCCAGGGACUCAAACACAAUUAGCUCAAAUGUGUGCUAUAUUUGUCUACUCUCCUUUUUGUGAAUGGUAUGUUAUUUUUUUGUUUGUUUGUUUUAUUUUGCUUAAUUUUUUAUUUUUAUUUCUGCUUUUUUUGAAGAGUAUGUUUGGCAUGCAGCGAACGAGAGCGGCGGCUCUUUGAUGUGACUGGAGAGGUGGCAGGUAUAGACGGGCGCACCUUUGCUUUGGCAGUCGUGUCACACUACCUGAAUGACUGCGAGGACACCACUGUCAAAAGGCAGCCGCAGCAUCAGCCACCGUGAUGUUUAUUCAUUUCCCUGGAGGAAACUCGCUAUAUUUAGCUCCAGUCAAGUGAGAAGUUAAAAGCCGAUGAGAAAAAAAUGCAAUGUGAAGUUUGGCACAGCCACUGUUAAAUGCCAUGAUACAAAGAGUACGAAGUUAAAAGUUAAAAGAGCCUGUGAAUGAAUAAAUAUAUAUAUAAUUCUAAUGCGGCGGUCCUAUUAUCAAGAGCUGCUCUCAGAAACAGCUUUUUGCAGCUUUGUGGAGCUACAGGAGAAUGGCCUACAUGUAAGGCAAAAAAUAGCAUCCGGAAAAACACUGAGCCUCUCUCAAAAAUGUCUUUGAUUAUUUCUCUGCCUUUCUCUGACUUUCGGCACAACAAAAACCACACAACAAAUUUCAAAAAACACAUUAUGAACCAGAGGCUUUGAACUGCCGCCUCCCUGCUAAGAUGCGAGAGUCAGAGCCAGAGUCAGAGCCUAACCCCAGCGGUUUUACGCCCAGCUGGCUCCCUUCUUAUUGCCCAAAAAGGUUAUUUUUUUUACCCCCAACCAUUAGAUUACAGAACAAAAUCCCUAAGCUGACAGCUGGGGUCUCAUUUGCAUAGCACUGAGACGGCCAUUAAAGUUUGUCUCACCUAGAAAUGAUUCACUUGACAUGGGUGAUGCGCUGGCAUAAGCUCUCGAUACCUGCAACCUCCGAUACUUGCGAGUCAUCCAGACGGAGGGGGGCUUAAGAGGGAGUGGGGAGCGCCAGGCUUACUUGGGUCGCAACGACUGGGAAGACGAGGUUAAACAAAAAAAGACAGGAGUUGAAAUGAGAGACAGAGAAAACAUCCACGUAAAUCCGUAAGAGGUGCUAUCCCAAUACGGGCCCCUCAGUCUGGCUGGCAACUCAUCCUAAUCCCUGUCUCUGAGAUGGGCGUGAUGUCAGAGGCUUUAGCCGGACCUGAGGAGGGCUAAUGAGGCCCUGCCUGCCUGCCUGCCUCGUCUCAGACCGUGGUGAUCAGUCUGCAAGCCACAAGCAAAGGGAUUGAGGUCACGUCAACCAUACGUAAAAUGAGGGAAAAGACUUAGUGUUUUUCCUGUGAUUGCUGGCCUUGCAGCAGGUUUGAAAGCCGUUAGUUUUUUUGGAAGAGGAAUGUCUGGUGGUUUCAGCGAGAGUGGACUGAGAUUGAUUGGUUUGGGAAGUGCAGUGUAUGGUGUUGCAUCAUUAGGAGAGAAGAAGAACAAACAAGAGGGAACAUUGGGAGACAGUGAAAAACUAUCUUCCAUCUUGACUAUUACUUUUUCUAGGCACCAGGGCAGUGUUUGGCAUUUCUGUACAUUUCCACAAUGGUGUUAAUUAAUCUAGAGAGGUAGCUGAUGUUAGUCAUCUCAAAAAUCUCAAGGGAGGUGGUAGACCCAUUCAUCUUUAACCCAUAAAGAGUUUUCUAAACAAUAGCUAUUCUUAUCUGAUUUUAAACUGUUAGGCCUACAGUUUUGAUGAUGAAUUAGAAAGGUUUUUGUAUUAUAUAUGUAAGUGCAGAGACACUGAAGAAAGAGCAGACACAGCAAUUUUCACCAAAAACGAAACAAAAAACAUUCGUCUCUUUUCUGGAGUUGAACAUUUUGCCUUAUUAGCUACUUCAGAAGUUCAUUUUGCCCUUGCAUCAAUCCAGACAGUAAUCUUACUGUGUAUGUGUGUGUGUGUGUGUGUGUGUGUGUGUGUGUGUGU